GAUUCUUCCCAAUUCUACCGCCACCAUUCUGGUUCAAGCUACCUGUAUGAGGAACAGAAAGAAAAAUGAAGAAAAGUAAACAGAGUCCAAGGGACCUGUGGGACAUCAUCAAGUGAACUAACAUAUGCAUUACAGGAGUCUCAAGAGGGGAAGUGAAAUAGGAUCAGAAAGAAUGUUUGAAGAAAUAAUGGUUGAAAAACUCCGAAAUUUGAUGAAAGAGGUGAAUCUACAUAUCCAAGAAGCUCAAUGAACUCUAAAGAGACCCACACUGAGACAUGUUAUAGUCCAACUGUCAAAAGCCAAAGACAAUGAAAACAACAAGAGAGAAACAACUCAUCACAUACAAGAGAGCCUUAAUAAAAUUACUAGCUGAUUUCUUAUAAAAAACCAUGGAGACCAGAAAAUAAGAAUGUCGAUCAAGAAUUCUAUAUCUGACAAAACUAUUCCUAAAGAAAUUCUCAGAUAAACAAAAGCUACAGAAUUUACUAGUAGACCUGCCCUACAAGAAAUGCUAAAGAGAAUCUCUCAGAUUGAAAUUAAAGGACAUCAGACAGUAACUUGAAGCCAUAUGAAAAAAUAAAGAGCAAUUGUGAAAAAU
Molecule: non-coding RNA, 598 nt
Filed under: Pan troglodytes (chimpanzee)
Lineage: Eukaryota; Metazoa; Chordata; Mammalia; Primates; Hominidae
Source: RNAcentral